CCUACGGGAGGCAGCAGUGGGGAAUAUUGCGCAAUGGGCGAAAGCCUGACGCAGCGACGCCGCGUGAGGGAUGAAGUUCUUCGGAUUGUAAACCUCUGUCAGCAGGGAAGAACGGUCACUGUGCUAAUCAGCAGUGAAUUGACGGUACCUGCAAAGGAAGCACCGGCUAACUCCGUGCCAGCAGCCGCGGUAAUACGUAGGGUUCGAGCGUUAUUCGGAAUUACUGGGCGGAAAGCGCUCGUAGGCGGCAGGUCAAGUCAAGGGUGAAAUCCCCGCGCUCAACGUGGGAACUGCCUUUGAAACUGGCAAGCUAGAGUGUAGGAGAGGAUAGUGGAAUUCCAGGUGUAGGAGUGAAAUCCGUAGAUAUCUGGAGGAACAUCAGUGGCGAAGGCGACUAUCUGGCACAUAACUGACGCUGAGGAGCGAAAGCGUGGGUAGCAAACAGGAUUAGAUACCCUGGUAGUC
This 465-nucleotide ribosomal RNA is filed under the name uncultured bacterium. Its description in RNAcentral is "partial 16S ribosomal RNA". It matches the Rfam family "Bacterial small subunit ribosomal RNA", at positions 338 to 795 of the family's 1533-position model. The record is from RNAcentral.